RNAcentral lists this ribosomal RNA (622 nucleotides) under uncultured eukaryote. Its description in RNAcentral is "SSU rRNA". It matches the Rfam family "Eukaryotic small subunit ribosomal RNA", at positions 585 to 1204 of the family's 1831-position model. The record is from RNAcentral.
CCAGCUCCAAUAGCGUAUAUUAAAAUUGCUGCAGUUAAAAAGCUCGUAGUUGGAUUUCUGGUGUGGUGCGCCGAGCCCGCCCCUUCUUGGGGUGAGUGCUUGCGCGUGCCUACCAUACUUCUGGGUAGUGCGUUCGCCCUUCACGGGGAAUGAGCGCGCCAUCCAGAUCUUUUACUUUGAAAAAAUUAGAGUGUUUAAAGCAGGCGUUUGCUAUGAAUACAUUAGCAUGGAAUAAUAAGAUAGGACUUUGGUUCUAUUUUGUUGGUUUCUAGGACUGAAGUAAUGAUUGAUAGGGACAGUUGGGGGUGCUAGUAUUUAACGGCCAGAGGUGAAAUUCUUGGAUUCGUUAAAGACUAACUUAUGCGAAAGCAUUCACCAAGGAUGUCUUCUUUAAUCAAGAAUGAAAGUUGGGGGAUCGAAGACGAUCAGAUACCGUCGUAGUCUCAACUAUAAACUAUACCGACUAGGGAUGAGUGAACGUUGCAUUAUCGACUUCAUUCGCACCUUAUGAGAAAUCAAAGUCUUCGGGUUCUGGGGGGAGUAUGGUCGCAAGGCUGAAACUUAAAGGAAUUGACGGAAGGGCACCACCAGGAGUGGAGCCUGCGGCUUAAUUCGACUCAAC